Molecule: ribosomal RNA, 825 nt
Filed under: uncultured bacterium
Lineage: Bacteria
Description: bacterial SSU rRNA
Rfam family: Bacterial small subunit ribosomal RNA
Source: RNAcentral
CUCUUCGGGGAUGAUUAAACCGGCGCACGGGUGAGUAACACGUGAGUGACCUGCCUUUUAGACUGGAACAACUUACCGAAAGGUGAGCUAAUGCCGGAUGAGUUAUAUAAGUGCAUGUUUAUAUAGGAAAAGUUGGGGAGACCUGACGCUGAAAGAUGGACUCGCGUCCCAUUAGCUAGUUGGUAGGGUAAUGGCCUACCAAGGCGACGAUGGGUAGCCGGCCUGAGAGGGUGGCCGGCCACACUGGGACUGAGACACGGCCCAGACUCCUACGGGAGGCAGCAGUGGGGAAUUUUGCGCAAUGCUCGUAAGAGUGACGCAGCGACGCCGCGUGAAUGACGAAGGCCUUCGGGUCGUAAAGUUCUUUCGACAGGGAAGAAAAUGCCUAUAAGUAACUGUGUAUGUAUUGACGGUACCUGUAUAAGCAGCCCCGGCUAACUCCGUGCCAGCAGCCGCGGUAAUACGGAGGGGGCGAGCGUUGUUCGGAGUGACUGGGCGUAAAGAGCACGUAGGCGGUGUUGUAAGUCAUUAGUCAAAGACUAGAGCUCAACUUUAGUAAGGCUAGUGAUACUAUAAUACUAGAGUAUCAGAGAGGAUUGCAGAAUUCCUGGUGUAGCGGUGAAAUGCGUAGAUAUCAGGAGGAAUACCGUUAGCGAAGGCGGCAAUCUGGCUGGAAACUGACGCUGAGGUGCGAAAGCGUGGGUAGCAAACAGGAUUAGAUACCCUGGUAGUCCACGCUGUAAACGAUGGAUGCUAGGUGUUGGGCUUUUAAGUUCAGUGCCGCAGCAAACGCGAUAAGCAUCCCGCCUGGGGAGUACGUUUGCA